Molecule: ribosomal RNA, 460 nt
Filed under: uncultured bacterium
Lineage: Bacteria
Description: partial 16S ribosomal RNA
Rfam family: Bacterial small subunit ribosomal RNA
Source: RNAcentral
CCUACGGGUGGCAGCAGUGAGGAAUAUUGGUCAAUGGACGAGAGUCUGAACCAGCCAAGUAGCGUGAAGGAUGACUGCCCUAUGGGUUGUAAACUUCUUUUAUAUGGGAAUAAAAUGUUCCACGUGUGGGAUUUUGUAUGUACCAUAUGAAUAAGGAUCGGCUAACUCCGUGCCAGCAGCCGCGGUAAUACGGAGGAUCCGAGCGUUAUCCGGAUUUGUUGGGUUUAAAGGGGGCGUAGGGGGAUUGUUAAGUCAGUUGUGAAAUUUUGCGGCUCAACCGUAACAUUGCAGUUGAAACUGGCGGUCUUGAGUACAGUAGAGGUAGGCGGAAUUCGUGGUGGAGCGGUGAAAUGCUUAGAUAUCACGAAGAACUCCGAUUGCGAAGGCAGUUCACUGGACUGCAACUGACACUGAGGCACGAAAGUGUGGGUAUCAAACAGGAUUAGAUACCCGAGUAGUC